UAUGGGGCGCAGCAGGCGAGAAAACUUUGCAAUGUGCGAAAGCACGACAAGGUUAAUCCGAGUGGUUUCUGCUAAAGGAACCUUUUGUUAGUCCUAGAAACACUAACGAAUAAGGGGUGGGCAAGUUCUGGUGUCAGCCGCCGCGGUAAAACCAGCACCUCAAGUGGUCAGGAUGAUUAUUGGGCCUAAAGCAUCCGUAGCCGGCUCUGUAAGUUUUCGGUUAAAUCUGUACGCUCAACGUACAGGCUGCCGGGAAUACUGCAGAGCUAGGGAGUGGGAGAGGUAGACGGUACUCGGUAGGAAGGGGUAAAAUCCUUUGAUCUAUUGAUGACCACCUGUGGCGAAGGCGGUCUACCAGAACACGUCCGACGGUGAGGGAUGAAAGCUGGGGGAGCAAACCGGAUUAGAUACCCGGGUAGUCCCAGCUGUAAACUAUGCAAACUCAGUGAUGCAUUGGCUUGUGGCCAAUGCAGUGCUGCAGGGAAGCCGUUAAGUUUGCCGCCUGGGAAGUACGUACGCAAGUAUGAAACUUAAAGGAAUUGGCGGGGGAGCACCACAAGGGGUGAAGCCUGCGGUUCAAUUGGAGUCAACGCCAGAAAUCUUACCCGGAGAGACAGCAGAAUGAAGGUCAAGCUGAAGACUUUACCAGACAAGCUGAGAGGUGGUGCAUGGCCGUCGCCAGCUCGUGCCGUGAGAUGUCCUGUUAAGUCAGGUAACGAGCGAGAUCCCUGCCUCUAGUUGCCACCAUUACUCUCAGGAGUAGUGGGGCGAAUUAGCGGGACCGCCGCAGUUAAUGCGGAGGAAGGAAGGGGCCACGGCAGGUCAGUAUGCCCCGAAACUCUGGGGCCACACGCGGGCUGCAAUGGUAAUGACAAUGGGUUCCAAAUCCGAAAGGAGGAGGUAAUCCUCAAACAUUACCACAGUUAUGACUGAGGGCUGCAACUCGCCCUCACGAAUAUGGAAUCCCUAGUAACUGCGUGUCAUUAUCGCGCGGUGAAUACGUCCCUGCUCCUUGCACACACCGCCCGUCGUUUCAUUGAAGUGAGCUUUUAGCGAGGUGACGUCUGAUUGGCGUUAUCGAACUUGAGGUUCGUGACAAGGGAAAAGUCGUAACAAGGUAACC
This 1123-nucleotide ribosomal RNA is filed under the name uncultured archaeon. RNAcentral's name for it is "bacterial SSU rRNA". It matches the Rfam family "Archaeal small subunit ribosomal RNA", at positions 324 to 1448 of the family's 1478-position model. The record is from RNAcentral.